AUUGAACGCUGGCGGCAUGCUUUACACAUGCAAGUCGAACGGUAACAGGCCUUCGGGUGCUGACGAGUGGCGAACGGGUGAGUAAUGCAUCGGAACGUACCCAGAGGUGGGGGAUAACGCAGCGAAAGCUGUGCUAAUACCGCAUGUGAUCUGAGGAUGAAAGCGGGGGACCGAGCAGCAAUGUUUGGCCUCGCGCCUUUGGAGCGGCCGAUGUCGGAUUAGCUAGUUGGUGGGGUAAAGGCCUACCAAGGCGACGAUCCGGAGCUGGUCUGAGAGGACGACCAGCCGCACUGGGAGUGAGACACGGCACAGACGCCUACAGGAAGCAGCAGUGGGGAAUUUUGGACAAUGGGCGCGAGCCUGAUCCAGCAAUGCCGAGUGCGGGAAGAAGGCCUUCGGGUUGUAAACCGCUUUUGGCAGGAACGAAACGGUGUCCGCUAAUACCGGGCGCUAAUGACGGUACCUGCAGAAUAAGCACCGGCUAACUACGUG
This 492-nucleotide ribosomal RNA is filed under the name uncultured bacterium. Its description in RNAcentral is "partial 16S ribosomal RNA". It matches the Rfam family "Bacterial small subunit ribosomal RNA", at positions 29 to 507 of the family's 1533-position model. The record is from RNAcentral.